GCCGUCAAUGGCUUAGUGGUAGAGCGCCUGAUAGGUAUUACUUCCAUGAGUAUUGCCCAACUUGGCAGAAGGCUAGGGUUCGAAUCCCUAUAAGGCA
Molecule: transfer RNA, 97 nt
Filed under: Lentinula edodes (shiitake mushroom)
Lineage: Eukaryota; Fungi; Basidiomycota; Agaricomycetes; Agaricales; Omphalotaceae
Description: tRNA-Thr
Rfam family: tRNA (bases 8-91)
About the family: Transfer RNA (tRNA) molecules are approximately 80 nucleotides in length. Their secondary structure includes four short double-helical elements and three loops (D, anti-codon, and T loops).
Source: RNAcentral